This 705-nucleotide ribosomal RNA is filed under the name uncultured bacterium. RNAcentral's name for it is "bacterial SSU rRNA". It matches the Rfam family "Bacterial small subunit ribosomal RNA", at positions 771 to 1501 of the family's 1533-position model. The record is from RNAcentral.
AACAGGAUUAGAUACCCUGGUAGUCCACGCCGUAAACUAUGGAUGCUAGCUGUUAGAGGUAUCGACCCCUCUAGUAGCGAAGCUAACGCGUUAAGCAUCCCGCCUGUGGAGUACGGUCGCAAGACUAAAACAUAAAGGAAUUGACGGGGACCCGCACAAGCGGUGGAGCGUGUUGUUUAAUUCGAUGGUAAGCGAAGAACCUUACCCAGGCUUGACAUCCUUGGAAUUUCUCCGAAAGGAGAGAGUGCUUUAUUGAGCCAAGUGACAGGUGAUGCAUGGCCGUCGUCAGCUCGUGUCGUGAGAUGUUUGGUUAAGUCCAUCAACGAGCGCAGCCCUUGUGAUUAGUUGAAUUUUUCUAAUCAGACUGCCCUGGUAACAGGGAGGAAGGGGGGGAUGAUGUCAGGUCAGUAUUUCCCUUACGUCUGGGGCUACAAACACGCUACAAUGGCCGGUACAAAGGGCUGCCAAGUCGCGAGACGGAGCAAAUCCCAUCAAAGCCGGUCUCAGUUCGGAUAGCAGGCUGAAACUCGCCUGCUUGAAGCUGGAAUCGCUAGUAACGGUAGGUCAGCACACUACCGUGAAUACGUUCCCGGGUCUUGUACACACCGCCCGUCAAACCAUGAAAGUCGCCAAUACCUGACGUGUUGCCUUCGUGCAGCCCUAAGGUAGGGGAGAUGAUUGGGGUUAAGUCGUAACAAGGUAACC